RNAcentral lists this ribosomal RNA (418 nucleotides) under uncultured bacterium. RNAcentral describes it as "partial 16S ribosomal RNA". It matches the Rfam family "Bacterial small subunit ribosomal RNA", at positions 355 to 761 of the family's 1533-position model. The record is from RNAcentral.
UGGGGAAUUUUGGACAAUGGGCGAAACGCCUGAUCCAGCAAUGCCGCGUGUGUGAAGAAGGCCUUCGGGUUGUAAAGCACUUUUUGUCCGGGAAAGAAAAUCCUUGGCUCUAAUACAGUCGGGGGAUGACGGUACCGGAAGAAUAAGCACCGGCUAACUACGUGCCAGCAGCCGCGGUAAUACGUAGGGUGCAAGCGUUAAUCGGAAUUACUGGGCGUAAAGCGUGCGCAGGCGGUUUGCUAAGACCGAUGUGAAAUCCCCGGGCUCAACCUGGGAACUGCAUUGGUGACUGGCAGGCUAGAGUAUGGCAGAGGGGGGUAGAAUUCCACGUGUAGCAGUGAAAUGCGUAGAGAUGUGGAGGAAUACCGAUGGCGAAGGCAGCCCCCUGGGCCAAUACUGACGCUCAUGCACGAAAGCG